UAGGGAAUUUUCCACAAUGGACGAAAGUCUGAUGGAGCAACGCCGCGUGCAGGAUGAAGGGCUUCGGUUCGUAAACUGCUUUUAUAUGUGACGAUUAUGACGGUAGCAUAUGAAUAAGGAUCGGCUAAUUCCGUGCCAGCAGCCGCGGUCAUACGGAAGAUCCAAGCGUUAUCCGGAAUUACUGGGCGUAAAGAGUUGCGUAGGUGGCAUAGUAAGUAGAUAGUGAAAUGAUGCGGCUCAACCGCAUGCCCAUUAUCUAAACUACUAAGCUAGAGGGCGAGAGAGGUUACUAGAAUUUCUUGUGUAGGAGUGAAAUCCGUAGAUAUAAGAAGGAAUACCGAUGGCGUAGGCAGGUAACUGGCUCGUCCCUGACACUAAGGCACGAAAGCGUGGGGAGCGACCG
Molecule: ribosomal RNA, 403 nt
Filed under: uncultured Candidatus Saccharibacteria bacterium
Lineage: Bacteria; Candidatus Saccharimonadota
Description: bacterial SSU rRNA
Rfam family: Bacterial small subunit ribosomal RNA
Source: RNAcentral